CAGUUGUAGUUGAAUAAAUGUCGAGAAGUUAACUGACCAAUUGUUGCGAGAUCUUGCGAUCUCCGUUGGCGAAUCUGCUAUCCCGAGCUUCUCACACUU
This is a small nucleolar RNA of Malania oleifera, 99 nucleotides long. RefSeq annotates it as small nucleolar RNA snoR109. The record is from RefSeq and is a predicted model, not a curated record. The transcript has a single exon. NCBI's taxonomy places the organism in Eukaryota, Viridiplantae, Streptophyta, Magnoliopsida, Santalales, Ximeniaceae.